Molecule: ribosomal RNA, 253 nt
Filed under: uncultured bacterium
Lineage: Bacteria
Description: partial 16S ribosomal RNA
Rfam family: Bacterial small subunit ribosomal RNA
Source: RNAcentral
UACGUAGGGUGCAAGCGUUGUCCGGAAUUAUUGGGCGUAAAGAGCUCGUAGGCGGUCUGUCGCGUCUGCUGUGAAGACCCGAGGCUCAACCUCGGGCCUGCAGUGGGUACGGGCAGACUAGAGUGCGGUAGGGGAGAUUGGAAUUCCUGGAGUAGCGGUGGAAUGCGCAGAUAUCAGGAGGAACACCGAUGGCGAAGGCAGAUCUCUGGGCCGUAGCUGACGCUGAGGAGCGAAAGCGUGGGGAGCAAACAGG